AUGCAUGUCUAAGUAUAAGCAAUUAUACGGCGAAACUGCGAAUGGCUCAUUAAAUCAGUUAUCGUUUAUUUGAUAGUACCUUACUACUUGGAUAACCGUGGUAAUUCUAGAGCUAAUACAUGCUAAAAACCCCGACUUCGGGAGGGGUGUAUUUAUUAGAUUAAAAACCGACGCCCUUCGGGGCUCCUUGGUGAUUCAUGAUAACUUCUCGGAUCGCACGGCCUUGCGCCGGCGACGGUUCAUUCAAAUUUCUGCCCUAUCAACUUUCGACGGCUGGGUAUUGGCCAGCCGUGGUGACAACGGGUAACGGAGGGUUAGGGCUCGACCCCGGAGAAAACGCCUGAGAAACGGCGUUUACAUCCAAGGAAGGCAGCAGGCGCGCAAAUUACCCAAUGCCGACACGGCGAGGUAGUGACGAUAAAUACUGGUACGGGGCUCUUUCGGGUCUCGUAACUGGAAUGAGUACAAUUUAAAUCCCUUAACGAGGAACAAUUGGAGGGCAAGUCUGGUGCCAGCAGCCGCGGUAAUUCCAGCUCCAAUAGCGUAUAUUAACAUUGCUGAGGUUAAAAAGCUCGUAGUUGAACCUUGGGCCUGGCUGGCCGGUCCGCCUCACCGCGUGCACUGGUCCGGCCGGGCCUUUCCCUCCGGGGAUCCCCAUGCCCUUCACUGGGCGUGGCGGGGAACCGGGACUUUUACUUUGAAAAAAUUAGAGUGUUCAAAGCAGGCCUAUGCUCGAAUACAUUAGCAUGGAAUAAUAGAAUAGGACGCGCGGUUCUAUUUUGUUGGUUUCUAGGACCGCCGUAAUGAUUAAUAGGGACAGUCGGGGGCGUCAGUAUUCAAUUGUCAGAGGUGAAAUUCUUGGAUUUAUUGAAGACUAACUACUGCGAAGGCAUUCGCCAAGGAUGUUUUCAUUAAUCAGGAACGAAAGUUAGGGGAUCGAAGACGAUCAGAUACCGUCGUAGUCUUAACCGUAAACUAUGCCUGUUAGGGAUCGGACGGUGUUAUUUUGUGACCCGUCCGGCACCUUACACGAAAGUAC
RNAcentral lists this ribosomal RNA (1039 nucleotides) under Ophioceras chiangdaoense. Its description in RNAcentral is "SSU rRNA". It matches the Rfam family "Eukaryotic small subunit ribosomal RNA", at positions 51 to 1101 of the family's 1831-position model. The record is from RNAcentral. Lineage: Eukaryota; Fungi; Ascomycota; Sordariomycetes; Magnaporthales; Ophioceraceae.